This 380-nucleotide ribosomal RNA is filed under the name uncultured organism. RNAcentral describes it as "partial 16S ribosomal RNA". It matches the Rfam family "Bacterial small subunit ribosomal RNA", at positions 527 to 896 of the family's 1533-position model. The record is from RNAcentral.
GUAGGUGGCAAGCGUUGUCCGGAAUUAUUGGGGCGUAAAGCGCGCGCAGGUGGUUCGUUUAAGUCUGAUGUGAAAGACCCCCCCGGGCUCAACCGGGGGAGGGUCAUUGGAAACUGGGGAACUUGAGUGCAGGAGAGGAAAGUGGAAUUCCACGUGUAGCUGUGAAAUGCGUAGAUAUGUGGAGGAACACCAGUGGCGAAGGCGACUUUCUGGCCUGUAACUGACACUGAGGCGCGAAAGCGUGGGGAGCAAACAGGAUUAGAUACCCUGGUAGUCCACGCCGUAAACGAUGAGUGCUAAGUGUUGGGGGGGUUUCCGCCCCUCAGUGCUGCAGCUAACGCAUUAAGCACUCCGCCUGGGGAGUACGGUCGCAAAGACUG